Molecule: transfer RNA, 76 nt
Filed under: Coriobacteriia bacterium
Lineage: Bacteria; Bacillati; Actinomycetota; Coriobacteriia
Also listed under: 1 other name
Description: tRNA-Gly
Rfam family: tRNA
About the family: Transfer RNA (tRNA) molecules are approximately 80 nucleotides in length. Their secondary structure includes four short double-helical elements and three loops (D, anti-codon, and T loops).
Source: RNAcentral
GCGGGUGUAGCUCAGUUGGUAGAGCGAAAGCUUCCCAAGCUUUAGGUCGCGGGUCCGAAUCCCGUCGCCCGCUCCA